Molecule: ribosomal RNA, 669 nt
Filed under: Salmonella enterica subsp. enterica serovar Javiana
Lineage: Bacteria; Pseudomonadati; Pseudomonadota; Gammaproteobacteria; Enterobacterales; Enterobacteriaceae
Description: partial 23S ribosomal RNA
Rfam family: Bacterial large subunit ribosomal RNA
Source: RNAcentral
GGUUUACCUGUGUGACUGCGUACCUUUUGUAUAAUGGGUCAGCGACUUAUAUUCUGUAGCAAGGUUAACCGUAUAGGGGAGCCGGAGGGAAACCGAGUCUUAACCGGGCGUUAAGUUGCAGGGUAUAGACCCGAAACCCGGUGAUCUAGCCAUGGGCAGGUUGAAGGUUGGGUAACACUAACUGGAGGACCGAACCGACUAAUGUUGAAAAAUUAGCGGAUGACCUGUGGCUGGGGGUGAAAGGCCAAUCAAACCGGGAGAUAGCUGGUUCUCCCCGAAAGCUAUUUAGGUAGCGCCUCGUGAAUUCAUCUCCGGGGGUAGAGCACUGUUUCGGCUAGGGGGCCAUCCCGGCUUACCAACCCGAUGCAAACUGCGAAUACCGGAGAAUGUUAUCACGGGAGACACACGGCGGGUGCUAACGUCCGUCGUGAAGAGGGAAACAACCCAGACCGCCAGCUAAGGUCCCAAAGUCAUGGUUAAGUGGGAAACGAUGUGGGAAGGCCCAGACAGCCAGGAUGUUGGCUUAGAAGCAGCCAUCAUUUAAAGAAAGCGUAAUAGCUCACUGGUCGAGUCGGCCUGCGCGGAAGAUGUAACGGGGCUAAACCAUGCACCGAAGCUGCGGCAGCGACACUCAGGUGUUGUUGGGUAGGGGAGCGUUCUGUAAGCCUG